UACGUAGGGUGCAAGCGUUGUCCGGAAUUAUUGGGCGUAAAGGGCUCGUAGGCGGUCCGUCACGUCGGGAGUGAAAACUUGGGGCUUAACCCCAAGCCUGCUUCCGAUACGGGCGGACUAGAGGUAGGCAGGGGAGAACGGAAUUCCUGGUGUAGCGGUGAAAUGCGCAGAUAUCAGGAGGAACACCGGUGGCGAAGGCGGUUCUCUGGGCCUUACCUGACGCUGAGGAGCGAAAGCGUGGGGAGCGAACAGG
RNAcentral lists this ribosomal RNA (253 nucleotides) under uncultured bacterium. RNAcentral's name for it is "partial 16S ribosomal RNA". It matches the Rfam family "Bacterial small subunit ribosomal RNA", at positions 524 to 776 of the family's 1533-position model. The record is from RNAcentral.